UACGUAGGGUGCGAGCGUUAAUCGGAAUUACUGGGCGUAAAGCGUGUGCAGGCGGUCUGUUAAGACAGGUGUGAAAUCCCCGGGCUUAACCUGGGAAUGGCGUUUGUUACUGGCAGACUAGAGUGCGUCAGAGGGGGGUGGAAUUCCACGUGUAGCAGUGAAAUGCGUAGAGAUGUGGAGGAACACCGAUGGCGAAGGCAGCCCCCUGGGAUGACACUGACGCUCAUACACGAAAGCGUGGGGAGCAAACAGG
Molecule: ribosomal RNA, 253 nt
Filed under: uncultured bacterium
Lineage: Bacteria
Description: partial 16S ribosomal RNA
Rfam family: Bacterial small subunit ribosomal RNA
Source: RNAcentral